This is a long non-coding RNA of Rhinolophus ferrumequinum (greater horseshoe bat), 1660 nucleotides long. RefSeq lists it as uncharacterized. NCBI's taxonomy places the organism in Eukaryota, Metazoa, Chordata, Mammalia, Chiroptera, Rhinolophidae. The record is from RefSeq and is a predicted model, not a curated record. The transcript is spliced from 7 exons.
GGAGCGCGGUCAGACAGCUGCAAGUUUGGCUGCUACUAAACCAACUGCUAGAUGCAGCAAAUGCUGGCUUCAAAACAAAAGGGAGAGGAAUCACGCUCGCUCUCUUCCUCCCCCCGGUCGGAACCCGGCACAUGACAGCCGCUACACAGCGCGGCAAAAACGCCAGCCCAGCACCAGCCGCGAGCCCCCCAGAACCCUCCUCCCCACCAGAGCUCCAGGGCUACGGCUCCCCACGGGGCGGGGCACCCGACAGGGAAGAGGCAAACCUCGGCAGGAGCGAGAUGGGGGAGUGCGGUCCUCGACAGAGAGUGGCACCGUGGAUGAGUGCGGAUGCCUGGCUACCCCCGGCGCAGGGAAGGGGAAGAGGAACGGGCUAAUUGUUUGGGGCGGUUUUCCCAGAUUAAUCUAUAAGCAAGCGCUCGUCACGCAGCUCACCUCCUGGGUCCCCGAAUCUAUCGGCAAGCUGAGGGAAAGAGAAUGUAGGAGAGUGACGUCCAGGCCCCGCCCUCCCCUCCGGCCACGUGCAAGGACUUGAAAGGAAAGAGGACCGCGGGAAGCCUGCUGGGCCUCUCACCUAUUCUCCCCUUUGAUGUUGACGUAUGGAAGGCAGGGGUGAAAUCAACAUGGACAGAGAUUACAUUCUGGAGGCAGAGAUUCGGGCCAAAGAGUUCAAGGGAAGAUAUGGUUGGAAGGCAUGCUGUUCUGUUUACAUUGCACAACUUUAGAAGAGAUGAUGACGAGGCCGCAAUAAUGCACUGACAGUAAGAACAGGAAAAGAUACUUCAUGGUCCUGAACAGGAAGAGAUGGUGCCUGGACACUACGAAAAUCUCCACAGGUAUUGGUGAGACAAUAAACAAACAUAAACUUCAGAUCAAUGGAGGGACUCCAGGGACAUAGGGAGCAACUCCUCUGGAGGCACAUCCGUCCUCUCUGAGGAAUGGAGCUGUGACUCAGACCCCGUCAAUGAGUGACUGCAAGGACCUAGGAGAUGGGCCUGGGACACCGCCUGAGCCUGUGGGAGUCAUUCCAGGCCUUUCCUUAAGCUGUGGAGGUGUCUUUUGCAGCAUCUCCUAACAGGAAGUGGAUCCUAUUUCCCUACUUCUUGAAUCUGGGCUGGUUUACGACUUACUUUGAAGAAUAGGACAGAAGGGAAGUGUGCCAGUUGCAAGCCUAGGUCACGACCACGGGAAAAAGCCCAGGCUGGCCUCCUGGAGGAUCAGAGGCCAUGUGGAGGAAAUCCGCAGCUCUCCAGACCAUGGCCAGUGAACUCAUGUAAGCAGAGCCACUUAGCCACCCCGCCACUGAUGGUAGGUGCAUGAGGGAGCCCAGCAAAAAGCAGAAGAACAAACCACCCAAGUGAGCCUACUCUAAGUUACUGGUUGCGGAAUUGGCUAAAUGAAUGCUGGUUGUCUUAAGCAACCAAGUGUUGGGAUGAUCUGUUUCCUAGCUGUUAGAUUACUGGUACGCUUAUUAUGACUGAAGGCCUUUAUAAGCAUUAGUCAUGCACACUAGCUUUGGAGACAGACAAAUCUGAUUUUGAGUCCUGGCUCUAUAACUUACUAGCUGUGUGACCUUGGGCAAGUUUUUUAAACUGUCUCUUCAGAUUUCUCAUGUGUAAAAUGGAUAUUAUAAUAAUAGUACUUCUAGAGUUUUAAGAUA